ACAUGAGUCAUCACCAGGAAGGCACAAAAGGAAAACAGACAGGAGAAUGGGCCAGUGGAUAUAUUCUUGCCUCUCCCCGUUUACAGUCUCGGGGAAAACCUGUGACUACAUCUCUCUUCCUGCUUUGUACCUCUCUCAUCUCCCAGACCAACUGUGAUCCUAGCUGAAAAGGGGGUGAUUUACCUAGAGCAGAAAGAAUGGAAAGCCCUGACCCAAGCCCGCAGAGCAGCAGGCAGUUUAUAGAUGAGACAACGAAGGCAUGGAGAUGUUAAGUGACCUGUUCAAGAAUGAAAGCAGUGUCUGAGCUGAGGGAGGUGUUCUUCUCAAUGUUUUUGGGCUGUUCAGUCCACAUCUGGAGCUUGUGCCCACUUCUGGACACCGCUGGGAGAAUUUGAGCCAUGGUGGGGUCAGAUUGGAGGGAGGGGCUAGGAACCCUGUCACAGGAAGAAAGUGCUGGGAGGAAGGCCAAUUCAGAAGGUUCAUGGCCAAGGUGCCAAUCUCCAAAGGAUCGGGGCAGAGGGCACAGAGGCGGGCUGCAGCCUUUGUGCUCUCACUGAGCUGGAGAUUCAGGGCGGUCUCCCUGGGCAGGGUGUCUCCUCCCUUCAGGUCACCAGACCCAGGUCUAUACUCCCGGCCUUCUCUCGUGGCCCCACGUCUCUGGAGCUGAAGACAGAAGUGGCAACAGGAUGAGAGUCUGACCCAAGGUCCACGCUUCUGGGACAGGAAAGCACCAAAGACCCUACAGGGAAGCAAAUUCAAGUUGUCAUGGGGCCCAAGCCUGUAAUGAAAACAAGUGAAGCUAGUUGGGCACUGGCCUUUUAAAUGUACAGAAAUAGUUUCACUUCCACAGAUAAAUAUGUCAGAUCAAUUUUCCUUA
Pipistrellus kuhlii (Kuhl's pipistrelle) is the source of this 877-nucleotide long non-coding RNA. RefSeq lists it as uncharacterized. The transcript has 2 exons. The record is from RefSeq and is a predicted model, not a curated record. Lineage: Eukaryota; Metazoa; Chordata; Mammalia; Chiroptera; Vespertilionidae.